UAUGAACGCUGGCGGCGUGCUUAACACAUGCAAGUCGAACGAAGCACUUUUAAUUCUUCGGAAGAGAAAGUGACUGAGUGGCGGACGGGUGAGUAACGCGUUGGUAACCUGCCUUAUACAGGGGGAUAACAGUUAGAAAUGACUGCUAAUACCGCAUAAGCCGAUAGAGUCGCAUGACUUAGUCGGAAAAGAUUUAUCGGUAUAAGAUGGGCCCGCGACUGAUUAGCUAGUUGGUGAGGUAAUGGCCCACCAAGGCGACGAUCAGUAGCCGGCUUGAGAGAGUGAACGGCCACAUUGGGACUGAGACACGGCCCAAACUCCUACGGGAGGCAGCAGUGGGGAAUAUUGCACAAUGGGGGAAACCCUGAUGCAGCAACGCCGCGUGAAGGAAGAAGUAUUUCGGUAUGUAAACUUCUAUCAGCAGGGAAGAAAAUGACGGUACCUGACUAAGAAGCCCCGGCUAACUACGUGCCAGCCGCCGCAGUAA
Molecule: ribosomal RNA, 487 nt
Filed under: uncultured bacterium
Lineage: Bacteria
Description: partial 16S ribosomal RNA
Rfam family: Bacterial small subunit ribosomal RNA
Source: RNAcentral